RNAcentral lists this ribosomal RNA (466 nucleotides) under uncultured bacterium. RNAcentral's name for it is "partial 16S ribosomal RNA". It matches the Rfam family "Bacterial small subunit ribosomal RNA", at positions 339 to 795 of the family's 1533-position model. The record is from RNAcentral.
CUACGGGAGGCUCCAGUCGAGAAUAGUCUACAAUGGACGAAAGUCUGAUAGUGCGACGCCGCGUGGAUGAAGAAGCAUUUCGGUGUGUAAAAUCCUUUUUUGUGUGAGCAAUGGUUUGUGUUUUAAUAGAACGCAGAACGAGAUAUUAGCAUAAGAAUAAGCUCCGGCUAACUCCGUGCCAGCAGCCGCGGUAAUACGGGGGGAGCAAGCGUUGUCCGGAAUCACUAGGCGUAAAGGGUAAGUAGGCGGAAAUGCCAGUCAGAUGUUAAAUGCAUCAGCUCAACUGAUGUUCAGCAUUUGAUACUGUAUUUCUAGAGUAAGGCGGAGGAAGACGGAAUUCUUGGUGUAGCGGUGGAAUGCGCAGAUAUCAAGAAGAACACCGAUGGCGCAGGCAGUCUUCCAUACCAUUACUGACGCUCAAUUACGAAGGUGUGGGUAUCGAACAGGAUUAGAUACCCCAGUAGUC